GAAGCUGACCAGACAGUCGCCGCUUCGUCGUCGUCCUUUCGGGGAGACGGGCGGAGGGGAGGAAAGUCCGGGCUCCAUAGGGCAGGGUGCCAGGUAACGCCUGGGGGGGGAAACCCACGACCAGUGCAACAGAGAGCAGACCGCCGAUGGCCCACGUAAGUGGGAUCAGGUAAGGGUGAAAGGGUGCGGUAAGAGCGCACCGCGCGGCUGGUAACAGUCCGUGGCACGGUAAACUCCACCCGGAGCAAGGCCAAAUAGGGGUUCAUAAGGUACGGCCCGUACUGAACCCGGGUAGGCUGCUUGAGCCAGUGAGCGAUUGCUGGCCUAGAUGAAUGACUGUCCACGACAGAACCCGGCUUAUCGGUCAGU
RNAcentral lists this RNase P RNA (369 nucleotides) under Salmonella enterica subsp. enterica serovar Montevideo. RNAcentral's name for it is "partial RNase P RNA component class A". It matches the Rfam family "Bacterial RNase P class A". From Rfam's summary of the family: Ribonuclease P (RNase P) is a ubiquitous endoribonuclease, found in archaea, bacteria and eukarya as well as chloroplasts and mitochondria. The record is from RNAcentral. Lineage: Bacteria; Pseudomonadati; Pseudomonadota; Gammaproteobacteria; Enterobacterales; Enterobacteriaceae.